Long non-coding RNA from Herpailurus yagouaroundi (jaguarundi), 565 nucleotides. RefSeq lists it as uncharacterized. The transcript is spliced from 3 exons. The record is from RefSeq and is a predicted model, not a curated record. Lineage: Eukaryota; Metazoa; Chordata; Mammalia; Carnivora; Felidae.
ACCACCAUUUGGGUCAUUGAGAUCAUACUUGGGCUGGCAAUCAAGCCUUAUUUUUAUUGGUAAUGAAUAUUCUCUGGCUUAAUGCAUGGUUACUGUGGUUUCCUAGUUCCUAGAACAGUGUCUGGCACAUGGAAGGAAAUCCAAAGUGUUUGUUGAUUCAAUAGCUUAAAUUUUGGUCAUUUUCAUGUUCCAAACAUCCAAUACGGUUCUUCAUAUGCAUUAGCUGAUGGAGAAGCUGAAACCUACAGGCUGUACAGAGGUAUCUCAGAUCAUACCUUUGGUUCAAAUAAAACCCAGAACAGAAGAACUGGAAAGACUGCAGGUGCAGUGACCGCAAGUUCUCUACAGUUGCUAAGAAGAAUCUAAGGAUAUUGAAAGUUAAGUAAGGCCACACCUCAGGAGCCACAUGAAAGAUUGGCUGAACUCCAAAAUGAAGAAGAAAAAUACAUAACGAAUCAUUUUCAGUCUCUACUGGCACCUUCACCACAAAUCUAGUAGACUAAUUAAACACUGUAUGGAUUACAUUCUAUUAAAAACAUAUUGUAUAUGGAGAGAUUAUCUCAUA